CAGGUAUCAAACAAAUGUGAACUACAGAAAAAGAAACAUUGGUUUCAAUUUAAAAAAUAAAGAAAAAGCAAAUUGGUUGGUUCACAUACAAAGGCAGUUGAGGAGUUAACGAGACACAGGUGGGAAGGAUGAUGCAAUCACUGUGGAGGGAAAUACAGGAGGCAGGGACAGGAGAAAGAGUUAGAGGGUAAAGACUGAAACAUAGGAAGUCCAACAUCUGGAGACGAGACCAGAGCCCUGAACAGCCUAAACCAAAAUGAACUGAGGGCCACCGCUGCCGUCAUCAUGUCAUGGUUUCAGAAAAACAAAAACAGAACCACUGGUUAAGAACCCCAACGUGGUCCACGAGGUCCUGGAGGCAUCUCAGAGAAAACAACUUCCCUCCUUCACCACUGAAGCACAGAUCCGGAUACAGUCUAGAAGAAAAACCAGGCACCUUCACCACCAUUAAAAAGUUAGAUCGGACCGAUUUGCAUUCAGCACCAUAGACAGCUCCCACACGGAAAUCACAGAAUCGCAGUGCCACCUUUUGGCCACCACUGGGACCACUUCACGUACAUGAUUGUUGGGGAGUUUCAUCCCACUACAUGUCGGUACUCAUAGAUCCGGAGCAACUGCAAGGAGGUUAGAGCCAGAAUGGGUAUCUCAAGUCUCAUUCUGUUCAUGGCACCCAAAGGCAGGAAACAAUAGCAUCUGCUCUCCUCUGAGACUGGGAAUUUAAUCACCAGCACGACCAA
This is a long non-coding RNA of Cynoglossus semilaevis (tongue sole), 737 nucleotides long. RefSeq lists it as uncharacterized. The record is from RefSeq and is a predicted model, not a curated record. NCBI's taxonomy places the organism in Eukaryota, Metazoa, Chordata, Actinopteri, Pleuronectiformes, Cynoglossidae. The transcript is spliced from 5 exons.